This 253-nucleotide ribosomal RNA is filed under the name uncultured bacterium. Its description in RNAcentral is "partial 16S ribosomal RNA". It matches the Rfam family "Bacterial small subunit ribosomal RNA", at positions 524 to 776 of the family's 1533-position model. The record is from RNAcentral.
UACGAAGGGGGCUAGCGUUGUUCGGAAUCACUGGGCGUAAAGCGCACGUAGGCGGACUGUUAAGUCAGGGGUGAAAUCCCGGGGCUCAACCCCGGAACUGCCUUUGAUACUGUCAGUCUCGAGCCCGGAAGAGGUGGGUGGAAUUCCUAGUGUAGAGGUGAAAUUCGUAGAUAUUAGGAAGAACACCAGUGGCGAAGGCGGCCCACUGGUCCGGUGCUGACGCUGAGGUGCGAAAGCGUGGGGAGCAAACAGG